RNAcentral lists this transfer RNA (68 nucleotides) under Ectobius sp. Z254C. Its description in RNAcentral is "tRNA-Met". The record is from RNAcentral. Lineage: Eukaryota; Metazoa; Arthropoda; Insecta; Blattodea; Ectobiidae.
AGAAAAGUAAGCUAAUCUUAAAGCUAAUGGGUUCAUACCCCAUUUAUAGGGGUAUUCCCUCUUCUCUA